AACAAACGCUGGCGGCGUGCCUAACACAUGCAAGUCGUACGAGAAAGUCGGCUUCGGCCGAUGAGUACAGUGGCGCACGGGUGAGUAGCGCGUGGGUAAUCUGCCCCCCGGUCAGGAAUAACCCGCCGAAAGGCGGGCUAAUACCCGAUAACACUGACGCUCCGCGGAGCGUCUUUCAAAGAAGGCCUCUGUUUACAAGCUUUCGCCGGAGGAUGAGCCCGCGUACCAUUAGGUAGUUGGUAGGGUAAUGGCCUACCAAGCCGACGAUCCUUAGCUGGUCUGAGAGGAUGAUCAGCCACACUGGGACUGAGACACGGCCCAGACUCCUACGGGAGGCAGCAGUGGGGAAUAUUGGACAAUGGGGCAAAGCCUGAUCCAGCAAUGCCGCGUGAGUGAUGAAGGCCUUAGGGUUGUAAAGCUCUUUUGUCCGGGAAGAUAAUGACUGUACCGGAAGAAUAAGCCCCGGCUAACUUCGUGCCAGCAGCCGCGGUAAACA
RNAcentral lists this ribosomal RNA (496 nucleotides) under uncultured bacterium. Its description in RNAcentral is "bacterial SSU rRNA". It matches the Rfam family "Bacterial small subunit ribosomal RNA", at positions 29 to 525 of the family's 1533-position model. The record is from RNAcentral.